Molecule: transfer RNA, 73 nt
Filed under: Ailuropoda melanoleuca (giant panda)
Lineage: Eukaryota; Metazoa; Chordata; Mammalia; Carnivora; Ursidae
Rfam family: tRNA
About the family: Transfer RNA (tRNA) molecules are approximately 80 nucleotides in length. Their secondary structure includes four short double-helical elements and three loops (D, anti-codon, and T loops). Further hydrogen bonds mediate the characteristic L-shaped molecular structure. tRNAs have two regions of fundamental functional importance: the anti-codon, which is responsible for specific mRNA codon recognition, and the 3' end, to which the tRNAs corresponding amino acid is attached (by aminoacyl-tRNA synthetases). tRNAs cope with the degeneracy of the genetic code in two manners: having more than one tRNA (with a specific anti-codon) for a particular amino acid; and 'wobble' base-pairing, i.e. permitting non-standard base-pairing at the 3rd anti-codon position.
Source: Rfam by way of RNAcentral
ACCUGGCUGGCUUAGUCAGUAGAGCAUGUGACUCUUCAUCUUGGAGUCGUGAGUUCGAGUCCCAUGUUGGGUG